This 452-nucleotide ribosomal RNA is filed under the name uncultured bacterium. RNAcentral describes it as "bacterial SSU rRNA". It matches the Rfam family "Bacterial small subunit ribosomal RNA", at positions 328 to 794 of the family's 1533-position model. The record is from RNAcentral.
AGACCAGACUCCUACGGGAGGCAGCAGUGGGGAAUAUUGGGCAAUGGGCGCAAGCCUGACCCAGCAACGCCGCGUGAAGGAAGAAGGCUUUCGGGUUGUAAACUUCUUUUCUUGGGGACGAAGAAAGUGACGGUACCCAAGGAAUAAGCCACGGCUAACUACGUGCCAGCAGCCGCGGUAAUACGUAGGUGGCAAGCGUUAUCCGGAUUUAUUGGGUGUAAAGGGCGUGUAGGCGGGAAUGCAAGUCAGAUGUGAAAACUAUGGGCUCAACCCAUAGCCUGCAUUUGAAACUGUAUUUCUUGAGUGCUGGAGAGGCAAUCGGAAUUCCGUGUGUAGCGGUGAAAUGCGUAGAUAUCAGGAGGAACAUCGGUGGCGAAAGCGCUUUACUGGACCAUUAUUGACGCUGAGGAACGAAAGCCAGGGGAGCAAAUGGGAUUAGAUACCCCCGUACU